GAUGAACGCUGGCGGCAUGCCUUACACAUGCAAGUCGAACGGCAGCACGGGAGCAAUCCUGGUGGCGAGUGGCGAACGGGUGAGUAAUAUAUCGGAACGUGCCCAGUCGUGGGGGAUAACGUAGCGAAAGCUACGCUAAUACCGCAUACGAUCUAUGGAUGAAAGCGGGGGAUCGCAAGACCUCGCGCGAUUGGAGCGGCCGAUAUCAGAUUAGGUAGUUGGUGAGGUAAAGGCUCACCAAGCCGACGAUCUGUAGCUGGUCUGAGAGGACGACCAGCCACACUGGGACUGAGACACGGCCCAGACUCCUACGGGAGGCAGCAGUGGGGAAUUUUGGACAAUGAGCGCAAGCCUGAUCCAGCAAUGCCGCGUGCAGGAUGAAGGCCUGG
Molecule: ribosomal RNA, 389 nt
Filed under: uncultured bacterium
Lineage: Bacteria
Description: bacterial SSU rRNA
Rfam family: Bacterial small subunit ribosomal RNA
Source: RNAcentral